Long non-coding RNA from Papaver somniferum (opium poppy), 244 nucleotides. RefSeq lists it as uncharacterized. The record is from RefSeq and is a predicted model, not a curated record. The transcript has 3 exons. NCBI's taxonomy places the organism in Eukaryota, Viridiplantae, Streptophyta, Magnoliopsida, Ranunculales, Papaveraceae.
AAGGUUUGGUUGAGGCUGUUAGUGCUUUAUUUCUAGGAAGCCCACACAAAUAUUGUUUUAGACACAUGUUCAAGAAUGUGAAGACUCACUACAAGGGUUCAAAGAUACAUAAUCAUAUCUGGAAUGCUGCUAAAGCCUAUAAGUUCACCCACUUGAAGUUCCAUAUGGAUGCUUUGGUGCUGGAAAAUGCUGCUGCUGCUCAGUAUAUGAUGAAUGAGGAUCCACUACAACAUUUUUGCCGAAU